UCAGGAUGAACGCUGGCGGCGUGCUUAACACAUGCAAGUCGAACGGGAAAUAUUUUAUUGAAACUUCGGUCGAUUUAAUUUAUUUCUAGUGGCGGACGGGUGAGUAACGCGUGGGUAACCUGCCUUAUACUGGGGGAUAACAGCCAGAAAUGACUGCUAAUACCGCAUAAGCGCACAGAACCGCAUGGUUCCGUGUGAAAAACUCCGGUGGUAUAAGAUGGACCCGCGUUGGAUUAGCUAGUUGGCAGGGCAGCGGCCUACCAAGGCGACGAUCCAUAGCCGGCCUGAGAGGGUGAACGGCCACAUUGGGACUGAGACACGGCCCAGACUCCUACGGGAGGCAGCAGUGGGGAAUAUUGCACAAUGGGGGAAAACCUGAUGCAGCGACGCCGCGUGAAAGGAAAAAUUAUCUCGGUAUGUAAACUUCUUUCAGCAGGGAAGAUAAUGACGGUACCUGACUAAGAAGCCCCGGCUAACUACGUGCCAGCAGCCGCGGUAAUACGUAGGGGGCAAGCUUUAUCCGGAUUUACUGGGUGUAAAGGGAGCGUAGACGGCGCAGCAAGUCUGAUGUGAAAGGCAGGGGCUUAACCCCUGGACUGCAUUGGAAACUGCUGUGCUUGAGUGCCGGAGGGGUAAGCGGAAUUCCUAGUGUAGCGGUGAAAUGCGUAGAUAUUAGGAGGAACACCAGUGGCGAAGGCGGCUUACUGGACGGUAACUGACGUUGAGGCUCGAAAGCGGGGGGAGCAAACAGGAUUAGAUACCCUGGUAGUCCACGCCGUAAA
Molecule: ribosomal RNA, 782 nt
Filed under: uncultured bacterium
Lineage: Bacteria
Description: bacterial SSU rRNA
Rfam family: Bacterial small subunit ribosomal RNA
Source: RNAcentral